Triticum aestivum (bread wheat) is the source of this 177-nucleotide non-coding RNA. NCBI's taxonomy places the organism in Eukaryota, Viridiplantae, Streptophyta, Magnoliopsida, Poales, Poaceae. The record is from Rfam.
GCCGGGAAGAGGAAGAAAGAGAGCUCAAGAGCACUAGGAAUGGGAACAUGGAGGAAAGCCCUGCUUGUUUGUUUGCACCUCUAGUCUCAGGGAUGCAAAUAUUUGGCAUGCAUGGAUCCUUUCCUGAUGCCUCCCAUUCCUACCGUUCUUGUGCACUCCAUCCCCUUCCUUUAGGAU